AACUUUCUGAAACAUUAGCUCUCACUCUUUCUCUAAGUGACUUUGAGAUGAAGCAAUUUCUGGAGAGGUUUAGGAUAAGCAGCUUGGAUGUCAGAAAGGCCAAUCUCUGAUUUUAGAGACGAAAGUACUGAAUCACAGAGCCAGCUGGUGGCAGAGCUAGGGAUCAGGGCCAUGGACCUCCUGACCGCUCAGGGAACCUGGAACCUGCUCUGUUUGCUGGUGGUGAGUUGGAGCUGAAGGAGGAAGCAGACACCCCUGCUGUAGGUUGUGGGGACAGGUGACUUCCCCUGGGCCACUUGCUGCCCACCCCUGCCUCCUUGACAGGGUCCCACACGGAGUCAAAGUAUCCAUGGGGACAGUCCUCACCUGCUUCCCAAUCCAGAGACUCAGAGCCAUAAGGCUUUGGUUCUGCUUCUAGAUAUACUUUUGCUUUUUCUGAAGCAUUGGCCCUGGCCCUUACCAGCCCUGGGCCUUACCCCGGGUCAGCUGUAAAAUCAAGAGAAUUGCGCAUCGCUCCAAGCCCGCAAUGCUUUGGGUUCUUCAGAGACAAGGGCGAGGGAAGAGACUUCUCCAACAGAAGGGCACGAGCCUCAUGAAGGUGGGGGGCCCAGAGCAUUCAAGUUCAACAACCGUUGGCCUGCGAUGCUGACUAGUUAUGAUGCAUGGGAGUCAACCUUACAAGCAUUUACUGAGCUGGACAUUUUUCUUGAAUAAUUUGCACAAUAACGCUAAGAGGUGGGGUCCAUUUUUAUUUCAGUUUUACAGAGAGCAGAAACUGGAAGUUACAGAGAAAGCUGAAAUAACUUGGCCCGAAGUCACUCAGCUAAGAAGUGGCUGUGUCCAAGCUCACAUUCCGGGCUAUGCUGCGUCUCUAGACUGCGGCUUGAAGCUGUAUUUGUAAAGAUGGGGGAUAGAUGCUUGCAUGUGCUCAUAGGAUUCCAAGAAGAUGUGCAGUGGGAGCAUUUACAAACGAGUCUGUCUGUCUUCACCACCAACAUGUAGGCCAGCUUUCUCUGCCCCUCUGAGAAGUCUGCAAAAGGUCACAGCUGCAUGGCUCCAGAAGCUAUUUGUCUUUAAAUCAAGGGACCAGCAAAUACGGAUUAGUGAUCUGACCUCUCCAAUCCCAGUUCCUGGGAGACAAGAAGAGAGGUCAAGAGGGCAUCCUCCAAUCAGCUACAUCCAGGGGACUGGGGACAUGGGACUGCCAGGGUCACACUGGGAAAACAUCAUACAUGCUGUCUCAAGUCAAAUGGUUUGUCCUCCAUGAAGACCCCUGACCAGUCCUAUGGAAGAAGUCUCCUUUCUCCUGUGUUCCCAUAGCAUAUUCUCUGCCCUCUUCUAUCACACUUAUCGCUCUCUCCCUUGUAUUAGUUUUGCUUUUAUAAGCAUCUUCUCCCCCAGCCCAUGUAUCUAUAAGCUUCUUGUUUCUCUUCCUAUAUCUCACAGCUUGGGCCAAAUAAUUGGGUGUGCACUCAAUACAUAUUUGAAGUCACAAUCUUUCCCCAAUAAAUACAUUUUCAAGAAACUCA
RNAcentral lists this long non-coding RNA (1529 nucleotides) under Sus scrofa (pig). RNAcentral describes it as "lncRNA (ENSSSCG00070018807.1)". Lineage: Eukaryota; Metazoa; Chordata; Mammalia; Artiodactyla; Suidae. The record is from RNAcentral.